This 416-nucleotide ribosomal RNA is filed under the name uncultured Burkholderia sp. RNAcentral's name for it is "bacterial SSU rRNA". It matches the Rfam family "Bacterial small subunit ribosomal RNA", at positions 11 to 427 of the family's 1533-position model. The record is from RNAcentral. Lineage: Bacteria; Pseudomonadati; Pseudomonadota; Betaproteobacteria; Burkholderiales; Burkholderiaceae.
GUUUGAUCCUGGCUCAGAUUGAACGCUGGCGGCAUGCCUUACACAUGCAAGUCGAACGGCAGCACGGGUGCUUGCACCUGGUGGCGAGUGGCGAACGGGUGAGUAAUACAUCGGAACAUGUCCUGUAGUGGGGGAUAGCCCGGCGAAAGCCGGAUUAAUACCGCAUACGAUCUACGGAUGAAAGCGGGGGACCUUCGGGCCUCGCGCUAUAGGGUUGGCCGAUGGCUGAUUAGCUAGUUGGUGGGGUAAAGGCCUACCAAGGCGACGAUCAGUAGCUGGUCUGAGAGGACGACCAGCCACACUGGGACUGAGACACGGCCCAUACUCCUACGGGAGGCAGCAGUGGGGAAUUUUGGACAAUGGGCGAAAGCCUGAUCCAGCAAUGCCGCGUGUGUGAAGAAUGCCUUCCGGUUGUU